Molecule: ribosomal RNA, 246 nt
Filed under: uncultured bacterium
Lineage: Bacteria
Description: partial 16S ribosomal RNA
Rfam family: Bacterial small subunit ribosomal RNA
Source: RNAcentral
GUAGGGGGCAAGCGUUAUCCGGAUUUACUGGGUGUAAAGGGAGCGUAGGCGGUUUAGCAAGUCAGAAGUGAAAGCCCGGGGCUCAACUCCGGGACUGCUUUUGAAACUGUUGAACUAGAUUGCAGGAGAGGUAAGUGGAAUUCCUAGUGUAGCGGUGAAAUGCGUAGAUAUUAGGAGGAACACCAGUGGCGAAGGCGGCUUACUGGACUGUAAAUGACGCUGAGGCUCGAAAGCGUGGGGAGCAAA